UACAGAGGGGGCUAGCGUUAUUCGGCAUUAUUGGGCGUAAAGGGCGCGUAGGCGGCCAUGCGUGUCUUCCGUGAAAUCCCUCGGCUUAACUGAGGACGUGCGGAAGAAACUGCAAGGCUCGAGUCCGGGAGAGGGGGGUGGAAUUCCUGGUGUAGCGGUGAAAUGCGCAGAUAUCAGGAAGAACACCUAUGGCGAAGGCAGCUCUCUGGGACGGUACUGACGCUGAGACGCGAAAGCGUGGGGAGCGAACAGG
RNAcentral lists this ribosomal RNA (253 nucleotides) under uncultured bacterium. Its description in RNAcentral is "partial 16S ribosomal RNA". It matches the Rfam family "Bacterial small subunit ribosomal RNA", at positions 524 to 776 of the family's 1533-position model. The record is from RNAcentral.